Molecule: ribosomal RNA, 468 nt
Filed under: uncultured bacterium
Lineage: Bacteria
Description: partial 16S ribosomal RNA
Rfam family: Bacterial small subunit ribosomal RNA
Source: RNAcentral
GACGAACGCUGGCGGCGUGCUUAACACAUGCAAGUCGAACGGAAAGGCCCUGCUUUUGUGGGGUGCUCGAGUGGCGAACGGGUGAGUAACACGUGAGUAACCUGCCCUUGACUUUGGGAUAACUUCAGGAAACUGGGGCUAAUACCGGAUAGGAGCUCCUGCUGCAUGGUGGGGGUUGGAAAGUUUCGGCGGUUGGGGAUGGACUCGCGGCUUAUCCGCUUGUUGGUGGGGUAGUGGCUUACCAAGGCUUUGACGGGUAGCCGGCCUGAGAGGGGGACCGGCCACAUUGGGACUGAGAUACGGCCCAGACUCCUACGGGAGGCAGCAGUGGGGAAUAUUGCACAAUGGGCGGAAGCCUGAUGCAGCAACGCCGCGUGCGGGAUGACGGCCUUCGGGUUGUAAACCGCUUUCGCCGGUGACGAAGCGUGAGUGACGGUAAUGGGUAAAGAAGCACCGGCUAACUACGUG